RNAcentral lists this small RNA (29 nucleotides) under Bombyx mori (domestic silkworm). RNAcentral's name for it is "ovarian small RNA-36163". Lineage: Eukaryota; Metazoa; Arthropoda; Insecta; Lepidoptera; Bombycidae. The record is from RNAcentral.
UGUUGCUUCAUAGUCCUCCAUAGGAAAUA